This 253-nucleotide ribosomal RNA is filed under the name uncultured bacterium. Its description in RNAcentral is "partial 16S ribosomal RNA". It matches the Rfam family "Bacterial small subunit ribosomal RNA", at positions 524 to 776 of the family's 1533-position model. The record is from RNAcentral.
UACGUAGGGACCAAGCGUUGUUCGGAUUUACUGGGCGUAAAGGGCGCGUAGGCGGCUUAACAAGUCACUUGUGAAAUCUCCGGGCUUAACUCGGAACGGCCAAGUGAAACUGUCAAGCUAGAGUGCAGAAGGGGCAAUCGGAAUUCUUGGUGUAGCGGUGAAAUGCGUAGAUAUCAAGAGGAACACCUGAGGUGAAGACGGGUUGCUGGGCUGACACUGACGCUGAGGCGCGAAAGCCGGGGGAGCAAACGGG